CGUACACUCCUGCGGGAGGCAGCAGUGGGGAAUAUUGGACAAUGGGCGCAAGCCUGAUCCAGCCAUGCCGCGUGAGUGAUGAAGGCCCUAGGGUUGUAAAGCUCUUUUGUGCGGGAAGAUAAUGACGGUACCGCAAGAAUAAGCCCCGGCUAACUUCGUGCCAGCAGCCGCGGUAAUACGAAGGGGGCUAGCGUUGCUCGGAAUCACUGGGCGUAAAGGGUGCGUAGGCGGGUCUUUAAGUCAGGGGUGAAAUCCUGGAGCUCAACUCCAGAACUGCCUUUGAUACUGAAGAUCUUGAGUUCGGGAGAGGUGAGUGGAACUGCGAGUGUAGAGGUGAAAUUCGUAGAUAUUCGCAAGAACACCAGUGGCGAAGGCGGCUCACUGGCCCGAUACUGACGCUGAGGCACGAAAGCGUGGGGAGCAAACAGGAUUAGAAACCCCGGUAGUCCC
This 450-nucleotide ribosomal RNA is filed under the name uncultured organism. RNAcentral's name for it is "partial 16S ribosomal RNA". It matches the Rfam family "Bacterial small subunit ribosomal RNA", at positions 330 to 797 of the family's 1533-position model. The record is from RNAcentral.